CUCAGAUCAGAAGGUGAUUGUGGCUUUGGGUGGAUAGUAAUGAGCCACAGCACUGCCUGGUCAGAAAGAG
MicroRNA precursor from Cricetulus griseus (Chinese hamster), 70 nucleotides. NCBI's taxonomy places the organism in Eukaryota, Metazoa, Chordata, Mammalia, Rodentia, Cricetidae. The record is from Ensembl.